Molecule: transfer RNA, 67 nt
Filed under: bovine gut metagenome
Rfam family: tRNA
About the family: Transfer RNA (tRNA) molecules are approximately 80 nucleotides in length. Their secondary structure includes four short double-helical elements and three loops (D, anti-codon, and T loops).
Source: RNAcentral
UCUAUAGCUCAGUUGGUUAGAGCAUCUGACUGUUAAUCAGAGGGUCGUAGGUUCAAGUCCUGCUAGA